AGUGAACGCUGGCGGUAGGCCUAACACAUGCAAGUCGAACGGCAGCACAGUAAGAGCUUGCUCUUACGGGUGGCGAGUGGCGGGCGGGUGAGGAAUACAUCGGAAUCUACUUUUUCGUGGGGGAUAACGUAGGGAAACUUACGCUAAUACCGCAUACGACCUACGGGUGAAAGCAGGGGAUCUUCGGACCUUGCGCGAUUGAAUGAGCCGAUGUCGGAUUAGCUAGUUGGCGGGGUAAAGGCCCACCAAGGCGACGAUCCGUAGCUGGUCUGAGGGGAUGAUCAGCCACACUGGAACUGAGACACGGUCCAGACUCCUACGGGAGGCAGCAGUGGGGAAUAUUGGACAAUGGGCGCAAGCCUGAUCCAGCCAUACCACGUGGGUGAAGAAGGCCUUCGGGUUGUAAAGCCCUUUUGUUGGGAAAGAAAAGCAGCAGGUUAAUACCCCGCUGUUCUGACGGUACCCAAAGAAUAAGCACCGGCUAACUUCGUG
Molecule: ribosomal RNA, 492 nt
Filed under: uncultured bacterium
Lineage: Bacteria
Description: partial 16S ribosomal RNA
Rfam family: Bacterial small subunit ribosomal RNA
Source: RNAcentral